AAAUUGAAGAGUUUGAUCAUGGCUCAGAUUGAACGCUGGCGGCAGGCCUAACACAUGCAAGUCGAGCGGUAGCACAGAGAGCUUGCUCUCGGGUGACGAGCGGCGGACGGGUGAGUAAUGUCUGGGAAACUGCCUGAUGGAGGGGGAUAACUACUGGAAACGGUAGCUAAUACCGCAUAACGUCGCAAGACCAAAGUGGGGGACCUUCGGGCCUCAUGCCAUCAGAUGUGCCCAGAUGGGAUUAGCUAGUAGGUGGGGUAACGGCUCACCUAGGCGACGAUCCCUAGCUGGUCUGAGAGGAUGACCAGCCACACUGGAACUGAGACACGGUCCAGACUCCUACGGGAGGCAGCAGUGGGGAAUAUUGCACAAUGGGCGCAAGCCUGAUGCAGCCAUGCCGCGUGUGUGAAGAAGGCCUUCGGGUUGUAAAGCACUUUCAGCGGGGAGGAAGGCGAGAAGGUUAAUAACCUUGUCGAUUGACGUUACCCGCAGAAGAAGCACCGGCUAACUCCGUGCCAGCAGCCGCGGUAAUACGGAGGGUGCAAGCGUUAAUCGGAAUUACUGGGCGUAAAGCGCACGCAGGCGGUCUGUCAAGUCGGAUGUGAAAUCCCCGGGCUCAACCUGGGAACUGCAUUCGAAACUGGCAGGCUAGAGUCUUGUAGAGGGGGGUAGAAUUCCAGGUGUAGCGGUGAAAUGCGUAGAGAUCUGGAGGAAUACCGGUGGCGAAGGCGGCCCCCUGGACAAAGACUGACGCUCAGGUGCGAAAGCGUGGGGAGCAAACAGGAUUAGAUACCCUGGUAGUCCACGCCGUAAACGAUGUCGAUUUGGAGGUUGUGCCCUUGAGGCGUGGCUUCCGGAGCUAACGCGUUAAAUCGACCGCCUGGGGAGUACGGCCGCAAGGUUAAAACUCAAAUGAAUUGACGGGGGCCCGCACAAGCGGUGGAGCAUGUGGUUUAAUUCGAUGCAACGCGAAGAACCUUACCUGGUCUUGACAUCCACAGAACUUAGCAGAGAUGCUUUGGUGCCUUCGGGAACUGUGAGACAGGUGCUGCAUGGCUGUCGUCAGCUCGUGUUGUGAAAUGUUGGGUUAAGUCCCGCAACGAGCGCAACCCUUAUCCUUUGUUGCCAGCGGUUAGGCCGGGAACUCAAAGGAGACUGCCAGUGAUAAACUGGAGGAAGGUGGGGAUGACGUCAAGUCAUCAUGGCCCUUACGACCAGGGCUACACACGUGCUACAAUGGCAUAUACAAAGAGAAGCGACCUCGCGAGAGCAAGCGGACCUCAUAAAGUAUGUCGUAGUCCGGAUUGGAGUCUGCAACUCGACUCCAUGAAGUCGGAAUCGCUAGUAAUCGUAGAUCAGAAUGCUACGGUGAAUACGUUCCCGGGCCUUGUACACACCGCCCGUCACACCAUGGGAGUGGGUUGCAAAAGAAGUAGGUAGCUUAACCUUCGGGAGGGCGCUUACCACUUUGUGAUUCAUGACUGGGGUGAAGUCGUAACAAGGUAACCGUAGGGGAACCUGCGGUUGGAUCACCUCCUUA
This 1540-nucleotide ribosomal RNA is filed under the name Klebsiella quasipneumoniae. RNAcentral's name for it is "bacterial SSU rRNA". It matches the Rfam family "Bacterial small subunit ribosomal RNA". Lineage: Bacteria; Pseudomonadati; Pseudomonadota; Gammaproteobacteria; Enterobacterales; Enterobacteriaceae. The record is from RNAcentral. RNAcentral also lists the same sequence under 2 other names.